Molecule: ribosomal RNA, 2929 nt
Filed under: Salmonella enterica subsp. enterica serovar Albany
Lineage: Bacteria; Pseudomonadati; Pseudomonadota; Gammaproteobacteria; Enterobacterales; Enterobacteriaceae
Also listed under: 1 other name
Description: 23S ribosomal RNA
Rfam family: Bacterial large subunit ribosomal RNA
Source: RNAcentral
GGGUUGUGAGGUUAAGCGACUAAGCGUACACGGUGGAUGCCCUGGCAGUCAGAGGCGAUGAAGGGCGUGCUAAUCUGCGAUAAGCGCCGGUAAGGUGAUAUGAACCGUUAUAACCGGCGAUACCCGAAUGGGGAAACCCAGUGUGACUCGUCACACUAUCAUUAACUGAAUCCAUAGGUUAAUGAGGCGAACCGGGGGAACUGAAACAUCUAAGUACCCCGAGGAAAAGAAAUCAACCGAGAUUCCCCCAGUAGCGGCGAGCGAACGGGGAGGAGCCCAGAGCCUGAAUCAGCAUGUGUGUUAGUGGAAGCGUCUGGAAAGGCGCGCGAUACAGGGUGACAGCCCCGUACACAAAAAUGCACAUGCUGUGAGCUCGAUGAGUAGGGCGGGACACGUGGUAUCCUGUCUGAAUAUGGGGGGACCAUCCUCCAAGGCUAAAUACUCCUGACUGACCGAUAGUGAACCAGUACCGUGAGGGAAAGGCGAAAAGAACCCCGGCGAGGGGAGUGAAAAAGAACCUGAAACCGUGUACGUACAAGCAGUGGGAGCACAGGUUUACCUGUGUGACUGCGUACCUUUUGUAUAAUGGGUCAGCGACUUAUAUUCUGUAGCAAGGUUAACCGCAUAGGGGAGCCGGAGGGAAACCGAGUCUUAAUUGGGCGUUAAGUUGCAGGGUAUAGACCCGAAACCCGGUGAUCUAGCCAUGGGCAGGUUGAAGGUUGGGUAACACUAACUGGAGGACCGAACCGACUAAUGUUGAAAAAUUAGCGGAUGACCUGUGGCUGGGGGUGAAAGGCCAAUCAAACCGGGAGAUAGCUGGUUCUCCCCGAAAGCUAUUUAGGUAGCGCCUCGUGAAUUCAUCUCCGGGGGUAGAGCACUGUUUCGGCUAGGGGGCCAUCCCGGCUUACCAACCCGAUGCAAACUGCGAAUACCGGAGAAUGUUAUCACGGGAGACACACGGCGGGUGCUAACGUCCGUCGUGAAGAGGGAAACAACCCAGACCGCCAGCUAAGGUCCCAAAGUCAUGGUUAAGUGGGAAACGAUGUGGGAAGGCCCAGACAGCCAGGAUGUUGGCUUAGAAGCAGCCAUCAUUUAAAGAAAGCGUAAUAGCUCACUGGUCGAGUCGGCCUGCGCGGAAGAUGUAACGGGGCUAAACCAUGCACCGAAGCUGCGGCAGCGACGCUUAUGCGUUGUUGGGUAGGGGAGCGUUCUGUAAGCCUGUGAAGGUGGCCUGUGAGGGUUGCUGGAGGUAUCAGAAGUGCGAAUGCUGACAUAAGUAACGAUAAAGCGGGUGAAAAGCCCGCUCGCCGGAAGACCAAGGGUUCCUGUCCAACGUUAAUCGGGGCAGGGUGAGUCGACCCCUAAGGCGAGGCCGAAAGGCGUAGUCGAUGGGAAACGGGUUAAUAUUCCCGUACUUGGUGUUACUGCGAAGGGGGGACGGAGAAGGCUAUGUUGGCCGGGCGACGGUUGUCCCGGUUUAAGCGUGUAGGUGUGUGUUCCAGGUAAAUCCGGUUCACUUUAACACUGAGGCGUGACGACGAGGCACUACGGUGCUGAAGCAACAAAUGCCCUGCUUCCAGGAAAAGCCUCUAAGCAUCAGGUAACAUCAAAUCGUACCCCAAACCGACACAGGUGGUCAGGUAGAGAAUACCAAGGCGCUUGAGAGAACUCGGGUGAAGGAACUAGGCAAAAUGGUGCCGUAACUUCGGGAGAAGGCACGCUGACACGUAGGUGAAGUGAUUUACUCAUGGAGCUGAAGUCAGUCGAAGAUACCAGCUGGCUGCAACUGUUUAUUAAAAACACAGCACUGUGCAAACACGAAAGUGGACGUAUACGGUGUGACGCCUGCCCGGUGCCGGAAGGUUAAUUGAUGGGGUCAGCGCAAGCGAAGCUCCUGAUCGAAGCCCCGGUAAACGGCGGCCGUAACUAUAACGGUCCUAAGGUAGCGAAAUUCCUUGUCGGGUAAGUUCCGACCUGCACGAAUGGCGUAAUGAUGGCCAGGCUGUCUCCACCCGAGACUCAGUGAAAUUGAACUCGCUGUGAAGAUGCAGUGUACCCGCGGCAAGACGGAAAGACCCCGUGAACCUUUACUAUAGCUUGACACUGAACAUUGAGCCUUGAUGUGUAGGAUAGGUGGGAGGCUUUGAAGUGUGGACGCCAGUCUGCAUGGAGCCGACCUUGAAAUACCACCCUUUAAUGUUUGAUGUUCUAACGUGGACCCGUGAUCCGGGUUGCGGACAGUGUCUGGUGGGUAGUUUGACUGGGGCGGUCUCCUCCUAAAGAGUAACGGAGGAGCACGAAGGUUGGCUAAUCCUGGUCGGACAUCAGGAGGUUAGUGCAAUGGCAUAAGCCAGCUUGACUGCGAGCGUGACGGCGCGAGCAGGUGCGAAAGCAGGUCAUAGUGAUCCGGUGGUUCUGAAUGGAAGGGCCAUCGCUCAACGGAUAAAAGGUACUCCGGGGAUAACAGGCUGAUACCGCCCAAGAGUUCAUAUCGACGGCGGUGUUUGGCACCUCGAUGUCGGCUCAUCACAUCCUGGGGCUGAAGUAGGUCCCAAGGGUAUGGCUGUUCGCCAUUUAAAGUGGUACGCGAGCUGGGUUUAGAACGUCGUGAGACAGUUCGGUCCCUAUCUGCCGUGGGCGCUGGAGAACUGAGGGGGGCUGCUCCUAGUACGAGAGGACCGGAGUGGACGCAUCACUGGUGUUCGGGUUGUCAUGCCAAUGGCACUGCCCGGUAGCUAAAUGCGGAAGAGAUAAGUGCUGAAAGCAUCUAAGCACGAAACUUGCCCCGAGAUGAGUUCUCCCUGAGACUUAGAGUCUCCUGAAGGAACGUUGAAGACGACGACGUUGAUAGGCCGGGUGUGUAAGCGCAGCGAUGCGUUGAGCUAACCGGUACUAAUGAACCGUGAGGCUUAACCUUACAACGCCGAAG